UGACAAAUUACUCGACCUACAGCUAGCAGUUUGCCGAGUAUUUCUGGAAUUAGUCAAGUGAAAACCAGGGAAUUUAUUCAGUGAAUUCAUAUCUAUACGUAGUUUGUUAGUUUUACAAUUCAUAGUUGUUACAUACAUCUGAGACAUACAUUUUGCAAAAACAUAUUCUUUCAUGAUUACGGAAAGUGUACAGUUUUGUCCGAUUCUGUUUCCGAAGAUUAAAACUUUGUGAUUAUUGACCUUAACCUUUCUGUUGGUUGAUCAGUUGUUCUGAUUGAUUUAUGCGUUUUAUUUAUUCUCACGAACAACUUUUAAAAACUUUAAUAAACUCUAUAAUCUAACAUGUACAUACAUAACGUAUUGACUGAGUGAAAGUCAUUACUUUAUAUUCUGCAUUUGUUAAUAAUAUUAGGAAAAGGGCGUUCACUAUUCUUUCCGUGUAUUUAAAUUGUAUUUUGCCAGAACCUUUUCGUGCUGUUUAAAAUAUCAAUAUUCUUUGAAAAGCUGUUUGUUGAAAAACAGAUUUUUGGCUUGCGUUAUCUUUCUUGCAUUUUUACAGUCUGAUUUUUACAUUAAAAUUUUGAUAACUUCAAUAUACUAAAAAUACAAAUUAGGUUUCGGAUGCAUAAAAUAUCCUUUAAAACACGUGAUCGUAAUAUUUAAUGAAAACAGGAGAUUGCUACAUCAUAUAUAAUAUAAUAUAUAUUAGAGUUUAGAUCUGUAUACAUUUGACCUAGAUAAUUACAUCUGUACUAUUUUCAUUGUUUAUCAAAGCACUUAAACGAUCCUAACUGUUAAACCACAUUUCCGUAUGUUAUCUCACUUCAAUCUUUAAUUAUAUAAUUUACAAUCGAUAAUUACAACUUCAUCCUAUGUCAGUAAUCGUUCAGCAUUGCACGUUUGGAGCAAAAGUGAGUCUUUGUUUUAUACAAUCUAAUUCAAUUAUAUAUUACUCAUGAAUCAAUUAAAUGUCUUUAACUUAUUGAACAAUAUUUUUCCCUUCAUAGUUCCAAUGAAUCGUUGAACCAAGAGUUUCAAAUGGUAAAGUUAGAUUCACUCUUUCGAAAAUAUUUAGGACACAAUCACGAGUUGGUUGACGUUAUGUUAAAUUUAUAAAUAUACAUCAUUGAUUUAGUAAGAUUAACUAUUUUCUUUUGUCAUGUUAAAAUUAACGCACUUAACAGACGUAACUUCUCUUGAACUGAAUUUUAAUGUGCGUAUUGUUAUGCGUUUACUUUUCUACAUUAGCUAGAGGUAAAGGGUAGGGUUGAGAUCUCAUAAACAUGUUUAACCCCGCGGCAUUUUUGUACCUUUCCCAAGUCAGGAGUCUCUGGACUUUGCUAUUCUUGUAUUAUUUUUAAUUUUAGUUUCUUGUAUAUAAUUUGGUGUUUGUUAUGGCGUUCAUAAUCACUGAAGUAGUACAUAUAUUUGUUUAGGGGGUAACUGAAGGACGCCUCCGGAUGCGGUAAUUUCUCUCCGCAUUGAAGACCUAUCGGUGACCUUCUGCUGCUGUCUGCUCUAUGGUCUGGUUGUUGUCUAUUUGACACAUUCCCCACUUCAAUUCUCAAUUUUAUGUUAAAGCAAAGUAUGUUGUUGAUUUACUCGGAAGAAACUUCCUUCCAGCUUUUACAUCUGUCCUCAGGCUUUAGUCUAACACAAAUAAUAAAAACACCAUACAAUAUUUAUUCAUUAUCAAACAAUACACAUUUGGAACAAACUUUAGAUUUCGUUUACUUUCACAGAUGACGACAGAUAUGUUUCAAUCAUCGUCAAUACAAUUUAGUUCUUCUUUUCAUCGAAUGUGACCUACCGAAUUAGAUUUAUCUUCAUAUCUGUAUUUGCAGGAGCAAGACAGUAGGUGCAUAAAAAAAGAUAAGUUUAACUAUCUAAAGCUUCAAAGUUCAUCCUCUAUUCUGAGUGGGGUUUGUGUUUCUCAGUCAUUAGUUUAUUAUGUUGUUGGUUAUGAAUCAUUCUUUGUCUUGAAGUUGUAUUUUGUUUUUUACCAUGGCCUUUUCAGUGUGUUUCGAUUUUUUCGAUUGAAUAUUUGUUUGGUAUCUGUGGCUCUUUUUUAUAAUACAAUAUUUAAACAUUGCAAUCAAUAAGUGUUUAUGCAUAUCAUUUAAUAGAGUGAAACAUUUUGUCGAGAAUUUAAUUUUACUAUAGCUAGCCCUAACAAAACAAAACCAACAAACAAACAAUUAAAUAAAGUGAAAUAAAAAUUCAUUUUCUUACAUUCAUAUACGAUUAAAUUGAUAUUAAACGAUUAUAAUUAUUAAUAAUGCAACCUAGUUAUUCUAUUCAUACAUGUACUCAUAAUAAAAAGAUAUAUAUAGUUACAUAAAUUUGUAUUUUGUUGUUAUUUUCUCUCCCGACAAUAUCUGAAAAUCAUAUAAAAAAUAGUAUUUUAACUCCUAUUAUCAUAACACAUAUUUAAUUCUUACAUAUAUACAUAUAUACAUAUAUACGUAUAUAUGCAUAUAUAAACGAGUCUAAAUUGAAAACUACGUUCAAACCUGAUUGCGUUGACGCAUAUGAGGCAUCUUUAGCCCACCAGUAUCAUAUGAUUCAAUUAGUACAUUUCUUUUGAUUUUAUCUGGUUUGUCAUUCCAUAGAAACUUUAAAAAAAUAUUUUCGGUUUUCUUAAAAUUUUCAAAAGAGGGAUUUGGCAAUAUUGUUAAUGAUAAACUCAUCAUAGAUACCAGGACUAAAUAUUGUAUAUACGCCUGACGCGCGUUUCGUCUACAAAAGACUCAUCAGUGACGCUCGAAUCCAAAAAAGUUAAAAAGGCCAAAUAAAAUACGAAGUUGAAGAGCAAUGAGGACCAAAAUUCCUAAAAGUUUUGCCAAAUCCAGCUAAGGUAAUCUAUGUCUGACGUAGAAAAGCCUUAGUAUUUCAAAAAUUCUAAAUUUUGUAAACAGUUGAAUGACUGAAUGAGAAUUGGCAAUGCUAAAGACUUUCUGACUGUAAUUUGUCCUAGAUAUGUAAGAUCUUGGUAAAUCCAAGUAUUUAAUAAUGCCUUUAUCUUUUCACUUUUCUCUUCGAAAUUAUGGGCAGUCUUGUCGACAGCAAAAAGAUCAUAGUUUAUACCUAAGAGUUUAAAUUCCCCUGUCUGAAUAUAGCUAGCCUUAAUUCAAUUAUUUUAAACACUACUUUUUUUUACUUAACAAACCAUUUCAUUAGAGGAUUAUGGCAGACAAGUAGCAAGAAUAUGGAAAAGAAGACGAACAUUUUGAAACUGUAUUUGUCUCUGAAGCUGUUUGUACUAUCGAGAAAACAAGCCCACCUCGUUUCGAUGCCUUUUAUAGCCGACUAUGCGGUAUGGACUUUGCUCAAUGUUGAACGACGUACGAUGACCUGUAAAUGUUAAUUAUUGUGCCAUUUGGUCUCUUUAGGAGAGUUGUCUCAUUGACAAUCAUACCACAUCUUCUAUUAUAAAACAUGUGUAAAAUCCUUGUAUUUUUUGUUCAAAGUUAAAAAAUGUAUAUAUAUAUACUGACAGACAUUAAAACACAAGACAAAUUUUUUUUUCAUCAAAUCUAAAAGACUAAUAGUAAUUUCAUUGCUAAUCAUGCUUCAUGUACUCCUUCUUGAAUAGAAAAAUCAAUUCCUAAAGUUCCUCAAACAAUAAAACAUCGCGAGACCUUGACGUCGCACGAAUAUCCUGACUCGAAAGUAGAAGCUCAUACAUGAUUUGUUUUUAAAUUCUUCGUAAAAAUUGAAAUAAUUUGACAUAAUUUAAUAAAACUUUUCAUGAAGUACAAUAUCGGAUGAGCAAUUUCAAUCUCUAUUUUCCUCAGCAAACAACAUCAGCGACAGCGAAUUCUAUAAUCAAAAUCAUAUGUCCGACUCACCGGAAAAUUACCCUGAAUGUAGAGACAUCCUUAUCACAAACAACGGAAUAGAAAAUUAAUUGAGAAACCUUAACCCACACAAAGCCACUGGACCGGUUAACAUCAGACCAAUUAUACUCAAAGGACUUGCCAGUGAAAUCGCUCCCAAACUUACCAUCAUAUUCAAUAUUUCAAUGGAGACAGGCAAAGUUCCAGAUGACGAGAGGACAGCAACAGUCACUUCAGCAUUAAAAAGGGUCAAACGUAUAUUUCGGCAAAUUACAGACCAAUAUCUCUUUCAUGUUUUUGCUGCAAGAUCAUCGAACAUAUUGUUACCAGCUACAUUAUGAAACAGGAAAACAAGUAAAGGGAACAGUAGUAUACCACUAUUCGAAAUUCAUAAUCGAUCGAGAAAAAAAUCCGGGUUACAAACUUAAACUGAGGGAAAUGCAUCAAAUAUGAAAGGAAGACUACGACAUAACAGACACACAACAUUAAAAUGCAACAUACACAGAAACGAACUAUAAUAUAACAAUGGCCAUUUUCCUGACUUGGUACAGGACAUUUUUAGAAACAAAAAUGGUGGGUUGAACUUGGUUUUAUGGCAAACCAAACCUCCCCUUUAAUGGCAAUGUUAAAUAUAAUAUUAAAAUGACAACAUUAUCUGACAGGACUAUAAAACAAAUAGAUUGGAGAAAAUAUAGGACAAUGAAACACAUGAAUAAUAGCUAACAAAAGGUAUCGCGUUUAAAAUUUCAUACUGCAGACGUGCGUUUCGUCCACACAAGACUAACCAGUAUCGGUCAGAUGAAUAAAGUUCGAAAGCCAAAUCAAGUUAAAAGUUGAAUAGCACUGAAGACGAAAAGUUCCAAAAAGUUCUGACCAAUACGGCUAAGAUUUUCAGCCUGGGAUAUAACCAUCCUUAUAAUUUACAAUAAUUCACACUUUUGCAAACAGUAAAUUGUAUAACAACAUCCUUUAUUCACUACAAAAAUUUGAAAAACAACACAUUGAAUAAUUUCUUGCGUUCGAAGCGCUAUUCUGGAUUUACCUUCAUCAGGAACGCUCAAAGCCUAACAUUUGAAAUCAGAAGAUUUAUACGACGUACCGAAACCACUGAAAAGAUAUCUGUCAAAAAUACCUAAAAUAAAUCGCCAAAUUGAUCUACAGUCAACUUUGGCUUGGGGAGUUGAAACCUAGUUUCUUGAUAAUUUCAAUAUCUAUAAACAGCCAAAUUUAGUAAAGUUUGUUAAAUCAUGGCAGUACCAAAGUACUAACUACUGAGCUGAUGAUACACCGUCUACAACAUAGAUUUCGAAGUAAACGAUCAUGCGAGACGCAACUCUUAGAAUGCAUUGAUGACCUAUCAAAGUGCCUUGAACUCGGAAAACAGUCUGAUCUACUGUUACUAUACUUUUCAAAGGCAUUUGCUAAGAUAUCCCAUAGCCUACGCCUACCAACCUCAAUCACUACGGAAUCAGGAGAAAGAGGUUUUUAAUAAUUGAUAAGACGGAAAUUCGAAUCAGCUCGGAUAACACAUUUUUUUCAAUCUUAGCCAAACAAAAAGAAGUCGUUUAAUUCCUGCAAAAUAUUGCUUAAAUAUUUUUUGGAUUAUAAAUCUUAAAAAUCGCAUACUUUUGUCAAAUUUGCAUUCUUUUUAUGUGAAUAAGUCAAUAGUGUGCUGUCCCAAUGAUAAUUGUACUCGAAUUUAUAAGGAAAAACAGUAAUAUUCAGUAUUGAACGAGUACCCAAAGGGACGAAUUGACAUAUCAUAAUUAUAUAUUGGUUUCUCUCCCCAGACUACAAAAUGCCCUGUCAUCAAUAUUUGACGCAAUGAAAAUUCAAGUGCAAUCUUUGUGCUAAAUGAGAUUAUCUAUAAGCAUAAGCUGGUACUAGGAUGGAUGUUCAGAUCAUAUCUUCUAGAAAGGAGGGACGAAAGAUACAAAAGGGACAGUCAAACUCAUUAUAAUAUCUAGAAUAGAGCCCUUUAUGCAUGAAAAAAGACACAAAGUUAAGUAUCAAUGGAUGAGGAUUAAAACCAUAUAAGUUCAUGUUUGAAUCCAUUUCCUUAGAUCGGAUAUCUCAAACCUUAUACAAAUGAUUUUUUUUCUAAAUGAUGCCACAAGACACUUCAGUCAGUAUAGUCGUUCCAGAACUCAUAAUGAUCAGUACAUUGAUGUUUUUUUUUUAAAUUUGAAAGCAUUUCAUGUAUGAAUAGUAAUUCUCUACCUUUUCAUCUCUUGCUUAUUGCUCCUUAGAAAAAGUAGUUCCUUAAUUAAGUGCUUGGAUGUGUCUACAGUUUAAAGUUUAUUGGAUAUGUUUGCCUCAUUCUCACAGCCAAACGUAAACAAUAAAGGCAACAGUAGUAUACCGCUGUUCAAAACUCAUAAAUACAUGGACAAAUAACAAAAUAGGGGUAACAAACUAAAACUGAGGAAAACAACAUAAAUGCUUGAUCACUGUUUAAAUUACUACUUUUUUUAAACGCACAAAUGACUUUCAAUACAUGUGUAAGAGUUGUCUCCCAUAUAUAUGGUCUGCCCCUUAAACAUUUAAAAGGAGUGUUAUCGUGGUAAACAUAAGCAACGUUUAGGUGUAAUUGUGUUUUUUAAAAAAAUCUUUAUUUUCAGUAUUGAAUGCGUGUUUUAUUUGCGAUAUGCUCAAAGUUUUCUAGAUACAUUUUUUUCAAAAGGAAUGCCGUUUUACAGGAUAAAAUAUAAACUCUCAUUGCUAUUGCAGGAAUGUAAUAUAUGUACCCUGUACGUUUGUUCGUACCUUUCGUCGAAAUGUAAGAAAGCUAUAAUGUGAUUGUUUACAUUACGUGUUCUGAAAGUAGAAAUUUUUAAUAAAUGAUAUACGUACGUAACUCGACGUAGAGACCUAAUCGGACUGGUUAUGGCCAACCAUGGAAUUUGAUUAAAUAUUUUCCUCUAGAUAAAACAAAGUAUUCCUAGAAUUUAACAAUCACAUACUGGAAUUUUUGUCCGUAUUAAUUUAUUCUCUCAUGACAAACAAAAAUAGCAGUCUAGCAUUAUAUUUAUCACGUGGUUUUCUAGCUUCUCGCUUAUUUUCACUGAAAUAAAAUAGGCCGAUGUAUGGUCAGAUAAGUUCGUUACGCCAAGUAAUGUCAUUUUAUUUGAAAUCUCUAGCUAGGGUAGACUUACUUUUCUGUUAUAUUUCUAUUAUAAAUUAGAAAAUACGUUGAACCACAAACGUCAAAAUUAUUUAAUCGCGUAGUGGAAUUAAAUAUUUGUGGAUUCUUAUCAAUUCUAUAGAACUUUUGGACUAUUUUAAAUCUCAGUCUAUUUCUGAAAUUAAUUCUAACAUACUUUUAUUUUUUUAACCCUGUAUGCCAACAUUGCCCAUGUGAAAUUUCAAAAUUGUUUUGUAUAAACAUUGAACAACAAAAUAUCUUUCCUAUGUGUCGUAUAAAUUUUCUGACGUCAGACAUGCGAAGCAAUAAAUGUGUUUUUAAUGUUUAUAAUUUGAUAGAUGUUUUUGUGUUCUUCUUUUCAAUUGUUUCUUUUAAAAUUGUAACACGACAAUGACUGCUGUGCCCAUAUUUUGACUAUUGUUAUUUAUUAUAUCUAUUUAGUUCACGAAUCGUUGUAAAUAUAACGGAAUUUGAUGAGACUGUCGUACAAAGUGAGAGAUUGAGCGCUAUAAAACCAGGUUUAAUCCACCAUUUUCUACAUUUGAAAAUGCCUGUAGAGAGCCAAGAAUAUGACGGUUGUUGUCUAUUCCUUUUUUAUGUGUUUUGUUAUUUGAUUUUGCAAAGUGAUAAGGGACUUUCCGAUUUGAUUUUCCUCUGAGUUCAGUAUUUUUGUGAUUUUUUUCUAAUUGCAUGGAAAUCUAUAAUGUUAAUGAAAAAUGUCCACUAUUAUAGAUAUUGUACAACAUGAGAGUCACUUGGCUGGAUCUGUAUUGGAAACUACUGCUCAUAAUUACUUUGACUAAAAGCAGCACAUGUGAGUACAACUAAUCUGUAUUUACGAAUCAAUUUAAAAAUGCAUCAUACAUAUGCCACCAUACAAGUUUUGUAUAAAUGAAAGACGACAAUAAGGUAACAAUUUGUUUCAAUUUUAGAACCGUUGAUUACAUUUAGACGUUAACAAAAUCUUUUGUGGGUCCACUUUAAUGUGGUAUAAACUAUUUUGAAUUAUGAAACGUUGCAUGUUUUUCUUUUAUUCAUCUUUAUCUUCAAACAUAUCUGAUGAAGUUAGUCUACAUUGGUCGUUUUAGAAUUUAAUUAACGGAUGAUGCAGAUUUAUUAUUAUAACAAGACUGGAAUGUAAUUACUAUGAAAUUAGUACUUUUUAUAUCUUUUAUUAUUAUUUAAUAUCAUCACCAUGCAGGCUUGCUCUUAAUAUCGAUAUUGUUAAUACAGUACUUCUGUUGCUUGGGCCCUACGUCAAUCACUCUUGUAUUAUGUCAAACGUAUCUGUUUGGAAUCAUAUAAUCAAUAAGAAGCACCCAAUAUAUACAAACUGAUUAUCAGAAAGACACCCAUAAGAUUGAACAAAAUGUCGCCACAUAAACGUACACAUGUACAUUAAAAUAAUUGUGUUGUAAGGUGAGUGUGGAAAUAUUAAAAAAAAAUUAAUAAUUUUGUUGUUCAUAGUAAGUGACAUAAAAAGAGUUAAAAUUCAUCGUCAUACCAAACAAUUAUCAUGUGUAUCAGGUGUAUAUAUUUAGAAUAGUGAGACGAUAAUAAUAUUAUGGUUUUGAUUUACUGAUAACAAAAUUGAUACAUAUAGCAUUUAAACUAUUAAAACAAUAUUCCGUUACAUAAUAAAAGUAAAGAAUGUGUAACCGUUUAGCAUAAUAGAAAUUUAAGAGAACACGAUGUUUAUAUGAUGCUAAGGGAACAUCGUGUAAAACUGAAACAUAUAAAUAAAGAAAAGGACAGUUAUCACUGAAAAUAUUUAAUUUUUAUAACUGUCAAAAAGUUCAUCCAGAUAACAGUAAGUGUUGUUGAAUUUAUCAAUUAAAUCGAAUUUAGACGAGUAUUUACUCAAUUUUCAUAAAUAAAGUAUAUCUAAUUUUAUAUAAUUACUAUUUUCUUGUGUAUGUGUUGUUUGACAUACAAUAAAAUUAACGGUACCAAUUUUCUUGCACAGAUGCCCAUUUCGACAAUACAUGUCUCUUCUGUGAUGCUCGUGGCCAAAAUAUUUGAAAUCCAAAGCUUAUAUAAAAGAUGAAGAGCUAUAAUGCAAAAGGUCCAAAAAGUAUAGCCAAAUCCGUGAAAGGAAUCAGAGCUUUGCAUGACGGAGAUACAUUCCUUAAUUUAUAAUAAUUUCUAUCAUUUUGUAACAGCAAAUUUUAAUAACACAAAAAAUCCGUAUUUUUCAUGCCAGUACCGAAGUACUGGCUACUUGGCUGGUGAUACCCUCGGGGACUAAUAGUCCACCUGCAGAGGCAUCGACCAAGUGGUAGUAAAAAAAUUAACGGUACCAAUUUUCUUGCACCAGAUGCGCAUUUCGACAAAUGUAUAGAAGUGAGGUCUAUGGUGGAACGCCACCGCUGUCUUAUGUGAAACUCUGAUAUUACGUUAUCUUGUGUUAUCAUUGAUAAUAGUUUGUCUUUACAUAAUAGGGUUUCGACAUUACGUAAUGAUGUUUUAAUAUAACUCUAUAUGGAAUAGUCAUUACUUAAUGAUAUUUCGAUAUUACAUGAUUUGGUUUCGUAUUGACUAGGCAUAGUUUUGUCAUUUCUUAAUAUGGUUUUGCCAUAACUCGAUGUGGUUUCAACAUUAUUUAAUGUGGUUGUGUCAUUAGGCAAUGUGGAUUUAACAUAACUUGAUGUGUUUGUGGACUUAACGUUAUGUAGUUGUUUUAUUACAUGAUAUGGUUUAAACAUACCGUAAUGAUGUUUCAAACUUUUACGCUACAUGAUGUGUUUGUUUCAGUUUUUGAUGUGGUCCUAUCAUUCUUUAAUGACGUUAUCCCAUUAAUUGAUAAGGUAAAACCACGUGACCAUUUCUAUUAGACCGAUUUCCACACGUUGUUUGUGUAGUGCGCUUUCAAUGAGUACCGCUUUCCAUAAAAUUAAAGUUCAAGAUGUUGUUCAGAGUUGUUUGAGAAAAAGAUACUAAAACAUUAACAGUAAUUCGGACUUAAGGGGAUAUCCAGAAACCUCUUGGUCCGCCGUUUGUUUCGUAAGUUCUCACAGGAUAGCAUGCACAGUAUCAUAAUAAAUUCGUAAAAGAUUCUAAGGAACCUUGUGUCCCGCCUAACAAUUCUGCUGUAAGUGUAAAAGCUUAAUGUUAACUGUACAUAAAUCGGUACAUUAAUUGGUAAAUUUAUUGGUCAAAACGAAAUUUAAAGAAAAAUGUUUUUCUAUAGAUGUUUUUAUCUUGAUCAUGAACAAUGACUCUUGUACAAGUUUUAUAACAAUUCGUGGAGGUAAACAAAUUUAUCAUGUCAAAACUGUAAUAUUUAAAUUGUGGUAAAAAUCUUAUAUUGAAAUAAAAACAUGUGAAUUCUCAACCACAUACCAAAUUUCGAGUUGAGUUACAUUUAAAGGUAGAGGUCCAAGUUACAGUUCGACUUCAAUUUUCAAUUGGAGUGACCUUUAGUUUAAGUUAUACCCUUACCAGAGUCUCAUUUAGAUUAAGAUUUGGCGUUGAAAUUCGAGUUAUCUAAAAUGAGUUCUAUUUUUUUUUUUAUCGCGGAUCAGUUUUUUGCUAGAGCUUCCGAAAAGACGGCUCAGAGGUAGGUAUGCGUACAAAAAAUAAACAAUGUUGCAGCAUACAAGACACACCACAGAACUUGAAAUAAAAUUUGAUGUGGUGUGAUUGCCAAUGAGACAAUUAUCCAUGUUUAAAUGCAGUGGAUGUAUGCAAUCAUAGGCAACCGUACAGGUUUCAACACCCUGUAUAGUCGGCUACAAAACACUUCCAUGUGAACAUGUGAAGCAAUUCAAACGAGAAAACUAACGGUCUCAUUUAUAAUUAAACAAUAUAUGAAAAAAAAUUAUAAUACACGAAACAACGACAAUCAUUGAACUUCAGGCUCCUGACUUUAGGCAGGCAUAUAAAGAUAGUGCACGCGGCGGCGUUUAACAUUUAUGUUUGCGCUAAACCCUUACAUAACCUCGGAUUGAAGUGUAACAGCACAACACAAGAAGAAAAUGUAAAGACAGUUUUGAUAGGGUCAACUCAAUGGAUCAGUAUGACUAGAAAAAAAGUGACUGUGGUAUGAUUGGUAUAGUUGCGUCGACGUCUUUAUCACUUAGAUCGUUAGGUUUCUCGUUUGAAUUGUUUUUACAUUUUUCAUUUUGGGACAUUUUUAAGCUUACUAUGUGGUUUAUGUUUUUCUCAUUGAUGAAGACAAUACAUGUUAUCGAAUUAAACCAUUUUGAUAUGAUAAAUUUGUAAACUUCCAUGAAUUGUUCUAAAUAAAGGCAACAGUAGUAUACCGCUGUUCAAAACUCAUAAAUCUAUGGACAAAUAACAAAAUCGGGGUAACAAACUAAAACUGAGGGAAACUCAUUAAAUAUUAGAGGAGAACAACGACACAACUUUAAAAUGUAACACACAUAGCAACGGACUAAGCAUUAGACAACAGCAGAUGAGAAUAACCAAUAUAACAUCAAAAACAAAUAUAUGAAUUUGGGAUAAAAAGUACCGUGACACGUCUUAUAGUAAUGUGAAUUCACACUAAAAAAUAGGAGAAAACAAACGACACAACGGAAACACAACGUAAAAAUGUUACACACACAGAAACGAACUAUGAUAUAACAAUGGCAUUUUCCUGACUUGGUACAGGACAUUUCUAAAGAAAAAAAGGUGGGUUGAACCUGGUUUUGUGGCAUGCCAAACCUCGCAAUUUGAUGGCAUUGUUAAAUAUAACAUUAAAAUGACAACAUAAUAAUACAGGACUACAAUACAAAUACAUAGCAGAACGUAUUACACAUGAAUAAUAGAUAACAAAAGGCAUCAGGUUUAAAAUUCAUUACGUCAAAAACGCGCCUCGUCCAAACAAGACUUACCAGUGACGCCCAGAUAUAAAAGUUCGAAAGUCAAAAAAAGGGGGACAAAGUUGUACAGCUCUGAGGAUCAAAAGUUGAAAAAGGUUGUGCCAAAUACGGCUAGGGUUAAACUUGUGUAGAAGUUAUUCUUCAAAGUCAAGAUAUAGCAAGGUUCAUUGAAUCUUUUACACAUUUAUUAAAAUACUGCUUCCAUUUGAGAACUAAGGAAAAAUUGGCAGGACCAAGUGAUUUCGGUGUAUUACCUUGUGUCCGAAUUACUGUAAAUAUCGUAGUACUUUUUUUCUAUAUUUUGUCUGUCCCUCAACUUUUUCAUACCAAAUAACUCUGAACAACAACUUAAUUGAACUUUAAUUUGCACUUUAAGUUAAUGCGGUUAAGAUAUCGGUAUUCAUCCAAAGCGCAUUGCACAAACGACAUAUGGAAAUCGGUCUAAAAAUAGAAUAAUUUUUUUUCCGAAAUGGUCACGUGGUUUUACCUCAUCAAGGAACGGUAUAACCACAUCAAAGAAUGACAGGACCACAUCAAAUACUGAAACAAACAUAUCAUGUAGUGUAAAAUCGUCAAAUUUUGAAACAUCAUUUCGUAAUGUUAAAGCCAUAUAAAGAAUUGAAAAAUCAUCAUAACGAAAUAACAAAACCACGUCAUGCAAUGAAACAACUACAUAAUGUUUGGUCACAUACACAUCAAGUUAUAUUAAAACCACAUUGCCUAAUGACACAACCACAUCAAAUAAUGGUGAAACCACAUCGAGCAAUGGCAAAACCAUAUUAAGUAAUGACAAAACUAUAUAAAGUCAAUACGAAACCAUAUCAUGUAAUAUCGAAAUAUCAUUACGUAAUGUCGAAACCAUAUUAUGUAAAGACACGCUAUCAUCAAGUUAGUGUAAAACAACAUAACGUAAUAUAAGAGUUCCACAUUAGACAGCUGCGGCGUUCCAUAGACGUCCCAAAAACUCUUUUAUAAUAUGGUAUUUAAAACAUACCAAUUUCUAAGCGUUGUGAAAAAAAAUGUAAGCUCUUUGUAAACAGUGGAUCAAGUUAAGAAAAUAAAAAAUAUCAUCAAUAACAAUAUCUCUUUUUUCUAUUCUAGUUGGUGUUUGUCCAGAUCCAAAGUGUAAAGGUGAACAAGGAUUACGAGGUAUAAUGGCAAGUGAUGUAUGAUCACGUACUACGUCGUUUAGUUUCGCAAAUCGAAGAGAAAAAUAACAUUAAAGAAAAUUACUGUAUGAUAUAAUUUUAUACUAAAGAAAG
RNAcentral lists this long non-coding RNA (13072 nucleotides) under Mytilus galloprovincialis (Mediterranean mussel). Lineage: Eukaryota; Metazoa; Mollusca; Bivalvia; Mytilida; Mytilidae. The record is from RNAcentral.